This 157-nucleotide non-coding RNA is filed under the name unclassified sequences. RNAcentral's name for it is "RT-2 RNA". It matches the Rfam family "RT-2 RNA", at positions 40 to 222 of the family's 222-position model. From Rfam's summary of the family: Coriobacteriales (Actinobacteria), Clostridiales (Firmicutes). Downstream gene The record is from Rfam by way of RNAcentral.
GGCAGUCAUGCCUAAAACUGCCCACUGACGGCCAAACACGGACGCUGCUUGCAUGGCGGGGUAUUGCGCUAUCCCCGUUUCAUGUGUCGGGCCAAAGUAGUUUAUACGCGCACCUACAAGACAACUAUGCGGAGGGCGAAUACUUUUUAUUAUGACC